ACUGUCCCAUGCCUACAACCGGCAUCAGUGCCUUCGAAGGAGUUACAACAAGCAAUGACGUUGCUGGGCAGGCUGACUCUGUAACAUGUGGCAUGGCCUGGGAGACUGACAGUGGAGGCGCAUUGGAAACUGGCAUCGGAAUCCCUCAGGAUGCCGCAGAAAUGGAGCGGGAACCUUUGAUGUGCAUCGGAAGUCCUGUGUCCUGAUGUGGCUGCAGUGCAGACGGCAUGAUGCGAUACCCGCAGAAAUGCUCAACGUGGCUUUGGCGUCACAAGUGAUAGCAGGCAUAACGUGGAAUGCCAGGAGGAACGGUUUCACAGUGGAUCAGCUGGGAAGCAGUGCAUUGCUUCUCCAACCGGGCAACCUCUCAGUGGGGGAGAAGACAAGGUCGACAUAGGAGGCUCCAUUUUAGUUGACAACUCCCGGUGGGUCACUGUUCUGUCCCAAAAAGAGGACAGUAUGUUCCUGAAGGAAGGAAUGGUUGCUAUUUGGGGCUCAGCGGUCCUAAAAAACAGGACUGUAACAGGAACGCUUUCCAACAAGGCUAAGGCAAAGGGGCAA
Molecule: long non-coding RNA, 561 nt
Organism: Ornithodoros turicata
Lineage: Eukaryota; Metazoa; Arthropoda; Arachnida; Ixodida; Argasidae
Exons: 7
Source: RefSeq, a predicted model, not a curated record